UUAGAGAUGAGAUGUGCCACUGCUGCUGCUUUACUCUUGCUGUUUUGGAGCAUGGCGUCUGUCUGGCCAGGUCCAGGAAGAGCUGGGAAGAUGGACUGGCUUGCAGUACUGUCUGAAAGCUGCACAGACCUCUUUCCUAGCAAAAUGUUUUACGGAAUCUGCUCCCUUGAAACCAGUAUGAGGCAACAGCAGUGAUUGCAGCUAGUUGCAACAUCUCAUCUUGCUAGAUGGAGGCACAUCAUGUUACAAGUGGUGCUUCUAGCAAAACCUCUGUGAAGGAAACCUACUGACACCUGUCUAGCUGGGGGUUGUUAACUCAUCUGAGGUUGAGUUGGGAGAAGAAGGAAGACACCUUCAGGUCAAGGAAGCUAGCCUGGCGGAUGCCAGCUGAGGAUGUGGUCC
This is a long non-coding RNA of Haliaeetus leucocephalus (bald eagle), 402 nucleotides long. RefSeq lists it as uncharacterized. Lineage: Eukaryota; Metazoa; Chordata; Aves; Accipitriformes; Accipitridae. The transcript is spliced from 3 exons. The record is from RefSeq and is a predicted model, not a curated record.